RNAcentral lists this ribosomal RNA (253 nucleotides) under uncultured bacterium. RNAcentral describes it as "partial 16S ribosomal RNA". It matches the Rfam family "Bacterial small subunit ribosomal RNA", at positions 524 to 776 of the family's 1533-position model. The record is from RNAcentral.
UACGUGGGGUGCAAGCGUUAAUCGGAAUUACUGGGCGUAAAGCGUGCGCAGGCGGUUCGCUAAGACAGAUGUGAAAUCCCCGGGCUUAACCUGGGAACUGCAUUUGUGACUGGCGGGCUAGAGUAUGGCAGAGGGGGGUAGAAUUCCACGUGUAGCAGUGAAAUGCGUAGAGAUGUGGAGGAAUACCGAUGGCGAAGGCAGCCCCCUGGGCCAAUACUGACGCUCAUGCACGAAAGCGUGGGGAGCGAACAGG